AACGAACGCUGGCGGCAUGCCUAACACAUGCAAGUCGAACGAGACCUUCGGGUCUAGUGGCGCACGGGUGCGUAACGCGUGGGAACCUGCCCUUAGGUUCGGAAUAACUCCCCGAAAGGGGUGCUAAUACCGGAUAAUGUCUUCGGACCAAAGAUUUAUCGCCUUUGGAUGGGCCCGCGUUGGAUUAGCUAUUUGGUAGGGUAAAAGCCUACCAAGGCGACGAUCCAUAGCUGGUCUGAGAGGAUGAUCAGCCACACUGGGACUGAGACACGGCCCAGACUCCUACGGGAAGCAGCAGUGGGGAAUAUUGGACAAUGGGCGAAAGCCUGAUCCAGCAAUGCCGCGUGAGUGAUGAAGGCCUUAGGAUUGUAAAGCUCUUUUAACCGGGAUGAUAAUGACAGUACCGGGAGAAUAAGCUCCGGCUAACUCCGUG
RNAcentral lists this ribosomal RNA (433 nucleotides) under uncultured bacterium. Its description in RNAcentral is "partial 16S ribosomal RNA". It matches the Rfam family "Bacterial small subunit ribosomal RNA", at positions 29 to 507 of the family's 1533-position model. The record is from RNAcentral.